This 90-nucleotide transfer RNA is filed under the name Candidatus Saccharimonadota bacterium. RNAcentral describes it as "tRNA-Ser". It matches the Rfam family "tRNA". From Rfam's summary of the family: Transfer RNA (tRNA) molecules are approximately 80 nucleotides in length. Their secondary structure includes four short double-helical elements and three loops (D, anti-codon, and T loops). The record is from RNAcentral. Lineage: Bacteria; Candidatus Saccharimonadota.
GGAAGGGUCGCAUAGUGGCCUAGUGCGCUGCCUUGGAAAGGCAGUAUACCCGCAAGGGUAUCGAGGGUUCAAAUCCCUCUCCUUCCGCCA